RNAcentral lists this ribosomal RNA (543 nucleotides) under Thanatephorus cucumeris. Its description in RNAcentral is "SSU rRNA". It matches the Rfam family "Bacterial small subunit ribosomal RNA", at positions 349 to 962 of the family's 1533-position model. The record is from RNAcentral. Lineage: Eukaryota; Fungi; Basidiomycota; Agaricomycetes; Cantharellales; Ceratobasidiaceae.
CAGCAGUCAAGAAUAUUAGUCAAUGCUCGCAAGAGUGAACAAGCCAACUGGAAUCACAACAACUUGUGAUAAAGUAAGGGAGGAUAAUGACGUUACCUUAUUAUUAGUGUCGUCUAAAAUUGGUGCCAGAAGACUCGGUAAUACCAAAUACACAAACGUUAGUCAUCAUAAAUAGGCGUAAAGGGUUUGUAGGCUGCUCAAAAAAAAAUUAUAAAAUAAGAGCUAGAAUCAAAUAGAGGUCAAUAUCAUACCUAGUGAAAGAAUUAAAUCUGUAAAUAUUAGGGGGAAUACUAGAAGCGAAGGCGAUUUUCCAUUUAAUGAUUGACGCUGAGACACGAAGGUUGGGGCAGGAAAUAGGAUUAGAUACCCUAGCACUCCCAACUGUAAACGAUGAAUGGUAGGUGUUAAUUAUAUUAAAAUUAGCACCGAUGUGAACACGUUAACCAUUCCGCCUUGUGAGUAUACUUGCAAAAGUGAAAACAAAAAAAUUAGUCGGCCCCGAAGCAAACGAAGUGAAGCAUGUUAUUUAAUUCGAUAAUCCGC